This 319-nucleotide ribosomal RNA is filed under the name uncultured eukaryote. RNAcentral's name for it is "partial 18S ribosomal RNA". It matches the Rfam family "Eukaryotic small subunit ribosomal RNA", at positions 1470 to 1796 of the family's 1831-position model. The record is from RNAcentral.
CCCUUAGAUGUUCUGGGCAGCACGCGCGCUACAAUGGUCUUCGCAAACGGAUGCAUUCUCGAAGGAGAAUGCCAAUCUUGGAAUCUAUGCCUUGGUCGGGACAGUUGCUUGCAAUUUUUCGGCUCGAACCAGGAAUUCCUUGUAAUCGUGAUUCAUCACAUCACGAUGAAUACGUCCCUGCCCUUUGUACACACCGCCCGUCGCUCCUACCGAUCGAAGAGUUAGGUGAAUUGUUUUGAUCGAUGAGAUUUGACUAUGGUCAACUCUCGUUGUGAAAUUCUGUGAAUCUGACUGUUUAGAGGAAGGAAAAGUCGUAACA